AAUGAGAUGCCUGAAUAAAGGGUUAUCUUGAUAGGAUAAAUAAAGUAAAAACAUUACUCUCAUUA
This 65-nucleotide transfer RNA is filed under the name Gastrimargus marmoratus. RNAcentral's name for it is "tRNA-Ile". Lineage: Eukaryota; Metazoa; Arthropoda; Insecta; Orthoptera; Acrididae. The record is from RNAcentral.